RNAcentral lists this ribosomal RNA (398 nucleotides) under uncultured eukaryote. RNAcentral describes it as "SSU rRNA". It matches the Rfam family "Eukaryotic small subunit ribosomal RNA", at positions 567 to 972 of the family's 1831-position model. The record is from RNAcentral.
CCAGCAGCUGCGGUAAUUCCAGCUCCAAUAGCGUAUAUUUAAGUUGUUGCAGUUAAAAAGCUCGUAGUUGGAUUUCGGGUGGGUUUUAGCGGUCCGCCUAUGGUGAGUACUGCUAUGGCCUUCCUUACUGUCGGGGACCUGCUUCUGGGCUUCACUGUCCGGGACAGGGAUUCGGCAUGGUUACUUUGAGUAAAUUAGAGUGUUCAAAGCAGGCUUACGCCCUGAAUACUUUAGCAUGGAAUAACACGAUAGGACUCUGCCCUAUUCUGUUGGCCUGUAGGAGUGGAGUAAUGAUUAAGAGGAACAGUCGGGGGCAUUCGUAUUUCAUUGUCAGAGGUGAAAUUCUUGGAUUUAUGAAAGACGAACUACUGCGAAAGCAUUUGCCAAGGAUGUUUUCA